GAGGGGAACGCAGUGAUUCUUCCUGGGGCCGGAAGGGCGUGGAGAGGAGAGGCUGGGAGCCUAAUUCAAGGAUGGCUGGGAGCCGAAUGGAGCCGGUUUUCCUGGGAGAAGCAGGGGACUGCCGCGUGGGGGUGCCUGGAGGCCGGAGCCCUGGGGGGUGGGACACAGUGAGGCAGGUGCGCCAGGACAAAACCUCCAAGACCUGGAAGGCCCAGGCUUGGCGCUGUGCCUCUGAGAAACACAGCCCAGUGGCCAAAACCAGCAGCAAGGAUUCCAGCCUUGAUUUCCAUCUCUCAGCAAACACCAGGGGGGACCCAAUUCUUCAGCCUAAAUGCCCUGUCCCCUCCCUUCCCAAGUCACCUCUGCCCCUCAGAGCCCUGCCUCUUUAGAGGGGAGAAGGGAGACCCGCCUUCUGAGUUUGCAGCUUCAAGGCCAAGGGCAAGAACCUUUAUCCUGAGUUAAAGAUGCUUUCCCCCCGCCCCAUAUAAAGAAGUCAGCGCUGAGCUGCUGUGUGCCCCCGUCACACUGGGUUAUCUCUGCAGAACCAAGGAGAAAACCACUGUCCCAGCUAGACCUUCACUGGGUAGCUGAGGCAACGAAGGGAGUCCAGGAGGCGAGGGACAGUCCAAGUCUUGGUGGGUCAGCAGAGGCCCCAGGCCCGCCCCUCUCCGCUCUGCAGGCUGCAUCUCUGGGCAUGGCCCCGGCACUCCCCAGGGAUGGCCACUCACUGCCCUAGGGGACUGCAGGACCACUGGCCCAGCUGCUCAGAGAGGCACCAGAGGGGAGGUGGCUACGGACAGAGAGACCAGGAGCCCGGAGGUCGGCCAGCUCCGCCGACACCUCCGCCCCUCUGCAUCGUGGCUUCCUUGGCUGGACGGGCCUGCAGACGCGGGGAGGUCCGUGCGGGAGCCCAUGGGCCUCUUGCCCCGAUGCGGAAGCCACACGCCGUCUCGGCCAGCCCCAGGACGCAGCGGUUCUGGUCUGUAGAGUCGCCACAAACACUGAAUAUUGGAGAACUGAGCCAUCACCCCAGGCGGAGCCCAGGGUCAGGGUCCCACCAGCCUCGGGCCACAUUCUUUCAGCCAGCUGAUACAUAAUCUUGUUCUACGUAUUCUUGCAUUCCUGUUUAAAGACACCGUACUUGGUACGACUGUAUUGUUGGUUCACGAGCGUUGAACCCGCUGCGCUGCCCUGUAGCUCACGUGGACGGUGUGGUCCUCAGACACAGGCGGUUUCUCUGUGAGGCACGUCCAACCUCCCUGUGCUAAGGGCCACUGGACGCACUUCAGGGCUGUGCUGGGGGCCGCUUUAAACGGGAAUCUCCUCCCGAAAAAGCACAAAAAUGUGGAAAACUGAACACUAAAUUGGCCGUGUUUGCAGCAGGCGAUUAAACGAGAAGGCACAGAGCAUCACCUCGUCCGACCUCAGCUGGGGACUCACAGUUUUUGCCGGUCUACACAUGUCAGCAAAAGACUGCAAAACAAGUAGUGAUUUUAGGGUCACAAAUAGAUUUUAGCGAGUAGGCAAGUUCCCAAAUACAGAUCUGCAAAUGAUGAGAUCUCCUGAGCGUGUGACCGCUACUCAGAGGAAGAGGCUAGAGGUUACUAACCCACCCGAGCCUCUGACUGACCGGCCCGCCCACUGUCCCUUCUGAGAAUCUGGUCCCGAGUCCCACCUCCCCUCCCCAGACCAGGGAUGGGCCCUGACUGACGUCACCUUCUGCCACGAGGGGGUGUUGAGGCUACAGUGGCCAAAGCUGCCAGGCUACAGAGGAAAGGCGCUGAAGGAGAGGCAGGGGUGCUGAGGGGAGCGGGGCCCAGGGCCGGAGCCUGCAGCUGCUGCCGCAUUACAGCCCACCUUUCUGGAGGUGGCCAGAGUGGUCAGGUUCCUGUCAACAAGCACAGGGGCAGAACGGUUGCCCGAGGAGCCAUAGCUGCUCUGUAGCAGAGCUAGGUACCCCAGGUCUUACUCACCAGGUAGACCUAGUCCUGCAGUGGAUGAGUGGAUGGAUGGAUGA
This is a long non-coding RNA of Balaenoptera acutorostrata (minke whale), 2017 nucleotides long. RefSeq lists it as uncharacterized. The transcript has 3 exons. Lineage: Eukaryota; Metazoa; Chordata; Mammalia; Artiodactyla; Balaenopteridae. The record is from RefSeq and is a predicted model, not a curated record.